AUACGUAGGGGGCGAGCGUUGUCCGGAAUGAUUGGGCGUAAAGGGCGCGUAGGCGGCCCGGUAAGUCUGGAGUGAAAGUCCUGUUUUUAAGAUGGGAAUUGCUUUGGAUACUGUCGGGCUUGAGUGCAGGAGAGGUAAGUGGAAUUCCCAGUGUAGCGGUGAAAUGCGUAGAGAUUGGGAGGAACACCAGUGGCGAAGGCGACUUACUGGACUGUAACUGACGCUGAGGCGCGAAAGUGUGGGGAGCAAACAGGAUUAGAUACCCUGGUAGUCCACACUGUAAACGAUGAAUGCUAGGUGUAGGGGGUAUCGACCCCUUCUGUGCCGCAGUCAACACAAUAAGCAUUCCGCCUGGGGAGUACGGCCGCAAGGUUGAAGCUCAAAGGAAUUGACGGGG
RNAcentral lists this ribosomal RNA (397 nucleotides) under uncultured bacterium. RNAcentral describes it as "partial 16S ribosomal RNA". It matches the Rfam family "Bacterial small subunit ribosomal RNA", at positions 523 to 918 of the family's 1533-position model. The record is from RNAcentral.